Molecule: long non-coding RNA, 248 nt
Filed under: Medicago truncatula (barrel medic)
Lineage: Eukaryota; Viridiplantae; Streptophyta; Magnoliopsida; Fabales; Fabaceae
Description: long non-coding RNA (MTRU_LNC000592)
Source: RNAcentral
CUGCAUCAGAAUCACAUUAAUAUUAACAAGCACGUACUAAGAAAUUCAUGAACAUGACCAAUUGCACUAAUCAUUCUCACUCAGUGCUAAAAAUGUCACUAGAAUAUUAAGUUGGAAAUGUGAAUGCCUGCAAACAUCACAAGCCAAGACUGGCUCACAACAAGCAUAAGGCAUUGGAACUUCUACAAAAUCACCUGCUGUUAUCCUUUUGGCACCACAAUUAUUGAUAUCUCAAUAAUAGGAUGCUA